RNAcentral lists this ribosomal RNA (229 nucleotides) under uncultured bacterium. RNAcentral's name for it is "partial 16S ribosomal RNA". It matches the Rfam family "Bacterial small subunit ribosomal RNA", at positions 568 to 796 of the family's 1533-position model. The record is from RNAcentral.
UCCGUAGGCGGGUAAUUAAGUCAGAGGUGAAAUCCCACAGCUUAACUGUGGAACUGCCUUUGAUACUGGUUGUCUUGAGUUACAGUGAAGUAGAUAGAAUAUGUAGUGUAGCGGUGAAAUGCAUAGAUAUUACAUAGAAUACCGAUUGCGAAGGCAGUCUACUAACUGUAUACUGACGCUAAUGGACGAAAGCGUGGGGAGCGAACAGGAUUAGAUACCCUGGUAGUCC